This 311-nucleotide long non-coding RNA is filed under the name Ananas comosus (pineapple). Its description in RNAcentral is "long non-coding RNA (ACOM_LNC032388)". The record is from RNAcentral. Lineage: Eukaryota; Viridiplantae; Streptophyta; Magnoliopsida; Poales; Bromeliaceae.
AGAGAAAGAGAGAGAGAGAGAGAGAGAGAGAGAGAGAGAGGGAGCCGGAGAGAAAGAGAGGGGGGGAGAGAGAGAGAGCCGGAGAGAGAGAGAGGGAGCUGGAGAGAGAGAGAAAGGAGGGUCCCACCGAAGCCCCGCCAAACGCGGGGAGGCUUCGGCCGAACUCACGAUUCAAUAUAUGUAUAGAUAGAUACUUAACAUGAAUGCGUUUUAUAAAAAUAAAUAAGUGUUAGAAUAAAUAUUAUUGUUUUGUGUUGUAAUAAUGCUCGUGUUCAACGGACGAAUGCAGACGGUUGGAUUUUAAGUGACAU